GGCACAUUGACUAGCAGUUUCUAUGAAUGAGACAUCAUAAAGUACAGAUCCAUGCGUAGAUCAGCUGCAGGGGAGCUUCCAUUGAUGCAGCUCAUUCAUUUGUUCAUCCACUAGGUUAGCUAGGACUUUAUGAAGCAUUUUCUAUAUGCCAGGCUUGGAGGAUGAUGCAAAGAUGAGCUAUAAUUGUUCUCUGUCUCCUAGAAGCUCACACCCAUCUGGGAGAGACACUUAAGACACCACCUUAAGACAAUGGGAUAAAGGUGUUGUUGGAAGCUGUGGAGGGGUACCCACCCCAGUCUAGGGGGAGUGCUGGCUGCAUGGAGCAUUUGAGCACAGGGCUACAGAGACGUGACCCCAGUUUCACUGGUUCCAUUUUGGACAGGGGUGCAAGUUGAGGUCUUGGACUUGUCCUUCCAUAAGGGAACUGCCUGUUUGUCGACAGUCCAUUGGUCUCUUUUAGAGAUGAAGUUCUCACGUCUGCCCAGAAGGAUGGAUCCACUCUUAGUGUUCAGCAUUAUUUCACUGCUGACCCUCUGCCGAGCCCUAUCACAGCUUUCUGAAUUUCCAUCCGGCCCUCCGAGGCAGAAUUGGCUCUGAAACCACAGGCCUGGGGAUUGAGGAAGGUGAUCUGAGUGUCUCAGUUAGGGAGGAUCCCAGAAGGAGACAGAAUUCCACCCAGAAAGUUAGAAUGAAGGUUCUUUCAUGAAGGGCCUAGGCGUUGUGGGUAUCAUCAAGGGGCCCAACAAAGAGGAAUGAGGCUUUCCAGAGACGAGCAGCAGCAGUCAGCCACAGGGCAAGGAGAUAAAUUCCAUAGUUACUGAAGUCCAAGUGUGGGGGAGGGAUACCGAGGAGGAACUGGGUCAGGGAGGGACCCUGCCACUGGGAGCACAACGGCCUCAACAGGAAGGCACAGAGAGCAAAUACCCCAAACCCUCUUACUUCUUGCCUUGUACCUUCUGUCAGUACCUCCCAUUGCUGAGGGCAAGCCAAGCAACAUUUAGGAUCCCAGGUGACUAAUCCUUAGGGGCCAGCCUACCAGGACCCAGGGAAGGACAGCCAAUGGAUCUGCAGAGGUGAAAUGGGAACAAAUGGAAAAUACUCACGCAGAAUCAUCUAGUGCUCUCUCCUAGAUAAUAGAAUUGAAAGCUAUGAGCCAUUCUUAUUUUAGGGCUGAUAAAGAUGCC
This 1184-nucleotide long non-coding RNA is filed under the name Equus asinus (donkey). RNAcentral describes it as "lncRNA (ENSEASG00005027343.1, ENSEASG00020008860.1)". The record is from RNAcentral. Lineage: Eukaryota; Metazoa; Chordata; Mammalia; Perissodactyla; Equidae.